Molecule: unclassified non-coding RNA, 260 nt
Filed under: fungal sp.
Lineage: Eukaryota; Fungi
Description: partial internal transcribed spacer region
Rfam family: Eukaryotic small subunit ribosomal RNA (bases 1-46)
Source: RNAcentral
AAGUCGUAACAAGGUUUCCGUAGGUGAACCUGCGGAAGGAUCAUCAUUGAAUCUAUAUUUACAAACCUUUGUGAACCGUAUGUUUAGAGUGUGCUUGGCAGGAAGAACACUGGCAGUCGCCGGUGGUCGCGUCUUGUGCUGGUGCUUGCACUGGCAUGAGUGCCUGCCAACAUGCUCGCCUUUUAACAAACCUUUUUAAACAUUGACUGAUAACAUUUAUUUAAUUAAAACAACUUUCAACAAUGGAUCUCUUGGCUCUC